Molecule: long non-coding RNA, 275 nt
Organism: Sinocyclocheilus grahami
Lineage: Eukaryota; Metazoa; Chordata; Actinopteri; Cypriniformes; Cyprinidae
Exons: 3
Source: RefSeq, a predicted model, not a curated record
AAGCCUUAAAUAAUGAUGAUGGAGCUGAUCUUCUCACUGCUUUUGACUCAAUGGAGAAAGCUGCUAAGGUGAUGGAAACUCAGCUGCGGGAGCAAAAGGACACUUGUAAGAGUCAGCAGGAAGCUCUGGUCUUCAAAAACGAACAUUUAAACAAAGAGAACGAGCAGCUUCAAGCUCUCUUUCAGGAGAAGAGCAACGUCAACCAAAGCAUCGGACAGGAAGUGGCCCGUCUCUCUGCUGAGAACAUGGUGAUUCCAGAACUGAAGCAGCAGGUG